AUGCGACCCCAGGUCAGGCGGGACUACCCGCUGAAUUAA
This 39-nucleotide ribosomal RNA is filed under the name Carpinus caroliniana subsp. virginiana. Its description in RNAcentral is "partial 26S ribosomal RNA". The record is from RNAcentral. Lineage: Eukaryota; Viridiplantae; Streptophyta; Magnoliopsida; Fagales; Betulaceae. RNAcentral also lists the same sequence under 1 other name.